Molecule: long non-coding RNA, 1916 nt
Filed under: Homo sapiens (human)
Lineage: Eukaryota; Metazoa; Chordata; Mammalia; Primates; Hominidae
Description: non-protein coding lnc-PRKX-5:1
Source: RNAcentral
GGCAGAUCAACAAGCUCAAAUUUCCACAUUACUGCAGAAUCGGGCCUGGGAGAACAGGACUGGGCUGCACUCACGCGAUGGGUGCAUCACAGAGAAUAACUCUCCUGUUGAUGGCCAGCACCUGAAUUCUCCUUUCUGAGGCAGAUAACAAAUUCAUCAAUUGGAUGGCCACAUCUGCAGGGGAAGUGAACAGUAGUCAGUGUUGGCUUUGCACUGAAUUGACAGAGGCCGCCAGAAGGGGACUACCAUGGAAAAUCAUUCCCGCUAAUGCGACAGAGUGGCUAUGCCACUGCCAAUGGGGUCACAACAAUAAUACCUGCAAUCCAACAUGGACCUCUCUCACUCACACUAAACAGGCACUCUUUGCCCAAGCCCGACAUAGGGCAAAAUCCACCCUCACCUUGCACCAAAAGUCUUUGCUUCCGGCUCGAUAUGCAUGGAAUGGUAUAUAUUAGGAACCAGCUUUGCUAGUUGCUGGAUUUUCUAAGGCUCCCCUUUGCCUAGAGGCAUUAAAUGGCUCCCUUAAUGCCACCUUAGGAUUUCUCCCAUUAGAUAAUUGUAAACACAUUCUCCAAAUCAACAACACUGCCCUCAAUGAAACACAAACCCUUUCCCACUUUAAUGAGAUACUAUUACCACAAUAUAAUUACAGCCAGGUCCUCAUCGUCCCCUGGGGGGCCCUAUGGGUAUGCGGGCUCUCAGGGUGGCGAUAUCUACCCCCACACUGGACAGGAAGAUGCACUUGGGGGUGGCCAUUAAUUCCAUUUACGGUCCAUGAUGACAUUUCUCUCCCUAGUAAUUUAGAAACUUAUAAAUAUCGCUGGUUGCAAGUGCGUCGAACCCCAUGGUGGUGGUAUCCUGUCACAAUACUCUAUCCUGCUGCAGGCACUGUCUUACUCCAGCAGCAAACCAAAGUCUUAAGCUUGCACACAGAAAAGGCUCUUAAUGAUAGUAGUUCUGGGCUUAUGUUAUUAUUAGAUCAACGUGCUCAACUGCGCACAGUUGUCCUGCAGAACCAUGUGGCACCUGACAUGCUUACUGCAGCCCAAGGAGGAGUACACACUAAGUGCUGUGUAUAUAUCCCAGACAAUUCCCGCCAUGUCACCCUUCUUGCGAAAGGUAUGUGGGCGCGAGUACAACGUCUAGAAUCUAGCCGUCAGGACCCCAUCGUGGACUGGCUUUCCAACUGGCAUUGGCGUUGGCCAUGGUGGGUGUGGUUCUUGUUACUUGUGCUUCUGAUUCUCCUCAGCUUACCCUGAUUCUGUAACCUCUACCAAUUAUGUAUUUCCCAUUUAUCUGCAAGGGUAUUUUCCUAAAACUGGGUAUGAAAUUGAGGCCAAAUAUGGAGGAAAAGUUAAAUAUUAAAUUUGAACUCAAUUGAAUGUAGACACAAACAAUGGUCACCAAGUCCCAGAACAGGUUGUGUGAGCCCCUUGAGGCAUUCAUCCAGUGCUGUUUCUGGGAAAUCUCUAUUUCAAUAGAUUGAAAUAGUUAUUGAAAAACAACAGACGAUCGCAAAAAUGAGUUGACCUCUUUGUGUUCCUUGAGCCCAGUCAUGAAGGGCCCUCGUGACUAGGCCUUAUGCCAAACAACUUGUAACAAAAAGAGCUAGGGUCCCAGACUAUGCUGAAGCUUCAUGAGACCUCUCCUAGUCUGUGCGGGACAGGCAGCCGACUCUGGAGCCCAGGCUGUUGCUUCCCGGUCUGGUGAAGCUUCCUCCAUGGUCUGGUAAGUGUAAAUAUAUAUGUGUGUGUGUGUGUGUGUGUGUGUGUGUGUGUGUGUGUAUACACAUAUAUACAUACAUAUAUAUACACACACAUAUGUAUUUUCCCUUCUCCCCUUCCCAUUGCAAUUUGCUUAUUAUAUCAUUUGCUUAUUGUAUCUGUAUUACCAUUUACAUAGGAUAAAUGUUGUUU